RNAcentral lists this long non-coding RNA (466 nucleotides) under Anser brachyrhynchus (Pink-footed goose). Its description in RNAcentral is "lncRNA (ENSABRG00000002190.1)". Lineage: Eukaryota; Metazoa; Chordata; Aves; Anseriformes; Anatidae. The record is from RNAcentral.
GUACAGCUUCUGUCUUAUGUUAUAAUUUAAAACUUUGAUGCGAUCUUUAACAGAAAUACCUCAAUUGCAGGAGUGCAACAUCACAAGUAUGGAUGAUUACUGCAAUCUACACUUCCGCCACCUUGGACAGGCAGGUCCCCAAAGGCUUACAGUUAAAGCAGGUGCCAUCAACGAAUCACCUGUGACAAUGGGCCUCAUCUUUAACAGAGUGGACCUGGUGGAGAGGAUGUGUUGGGCUUGUUUCUUCAGUCUUCUCUUCACCCUGUGGAGUUUCUAAGGAACAAUAUUGAUUCUCCUUGCAUUCCUUCAAAUUCCUCCUGAGUUCUGUCACUCAAUAAUACGGCAUUCCUGUCAUCCUAAAAGGAUCCAAGAUGGACAUAGCAAAUCAGCAAUGAAUGCAUCCUUCCUUCAUUUAUUUUGUUUAAUAAGGUAAUAUUGGUCUUCCGUCACUACUGUCAGAUUCGAG